Molecule: long non-coding RNA, 449 nt
Filed under: Daucus carota (carrot)
Lineage: Eukaryota; Viridiplantae; Streptophyta; Magnoliopsida; Apiales; Apiaceae
Description: long non-coding RNA (DCAR_LNC003399)
Source: RNAcentral
GGAACUGAGAAGGUAUAAUUUUAUUCAAAUGUAUAUAUAUAGUAGACGUGGUUAUACCCUCUACAAAUAAUUUAAAUAUAUAUAACCGGAGUAGACGUGGUUACACCCUCUACUAAUAUUUUAACUACAUAUGGCCGGAGCACCGCCUAUUUACGGUACCAUAUAAUUUUGGGUAAUACCGAAAUAUAGUGGGAACCUUAAUUUAUAAAUUGCCUGCCUAUCGGAUAAUAAUUCUUUUGUGCCUAACUAACUUAUGCAGGAUUUUCCACUUAAAUAUAUUAUUGGUUGGAGAUAACCUGUAUACGCAGACGUCCGUAUGGCGGGUGAAAAUCCAUUUGUCAUUUUAUAUAUAGAUCUGUUCAUAAUAUCGAUGAUAAUAAUGAUGUACACAUUUAUUAUUGCUUACUUGUUAACGCAUCCGAUUCAGUAGGAUUUUAUGUAAUAUUUAC